ACUGAAUAGAUACCCAGGUAGUCCACGCCCUAAACGAUGUCUACUUGCUGUUGGGUCCGAUAGGAUUAAAGUAGCGAAAGCAAAAACGCGAGAAGUAGACCGCCUGGGGAGUACGGUCGCAAGAUUAAAACUCAAAGGAAUUGACGGGGACCCGCACAAGCGGUGGAUGAUGUGGAUUAAUUCGAUGCAACGCGAAGAACCUUACCUGCUCUUGACAUGCUAGGAAGAUCUAAGAGAUUAGAUUGUGCCUUCGGGAACCUAGACACAGGUGCUGCAUGGCUGUCGUCAGCUCGUGUCGUGAGAUGUUGUCUUAAGUGACGCAACGAGCGCAACCCUUACCACUAGUUGCCCCAAUUAAGUUUGGCACUCUAGUGGGACUGCUGGGAUAGAUCCAGAGGAAGGUGGGGAUGACGUCAAGUCCUCAUGGCCCUUAUGAGCAGGGCUUCACACGUCAUACAAUGGUAGGUACAGAAGGUAGCGAAGCCGCGAGGUGGAGCCAAUCCUAGAAAGCCUAUCGUA
RNAcentral lists this ribosomal RNA (519 nucleotides) under uncultured bacterium. RNAcentral's name for it is "bacterial SSU rRNA". It matches the Rfam family "Bacterial small subunit ribosomal RNA", at positions 772 to 1290 of the family's 1533-position model. The record is from RNAcentral.